RNAcentral lists this ribosomal RNA (463 nucleotides) under uncultured bacterium. RNAcentral's name for it is "partial 16S ribosomal RNA". It matches the Rfam family "Bacterial small subunit ribosomal RNA", at positions 28 to 507 of the family's 1533-position model. The record is from RNAcentral.
GAUGAACGCUGACAGAAUGCUUAACACAUGCAAGUCGAUGGGGAAGUGGUGCUUGCACCAUGGUAACCAUGGCGGACGGGUGAGUAACGCGUAAGGAACUUGCCUGCGGGACUGGGAUAACAGCAGGAAACUGCUGAUAAUACCGGAUAAGGUCAUUAAGCUGCAUAGCUUAGUGAUGAAAGGAGACGCCUGCGGAGAGCCUUGCGUCCUAUUAGCUAGUUGGAGGGGUAACGGCCCACCAAGGCGAAGGUAGGUAGCCGGCCUGAGAGGGUGGACGGCCACAAGGGGACUGAGAUACGGCCCUUACUCCUACGGGAGGCAGCAGUGGGGAAUAUUGGACAAUGGGGGCAACCCUGAUCCAGCAAUUCUGUGUGCACGAAGACGGUUUUCGGAUUGUAAAGUGCUUUCAGCAGGGAAGAAGGAAGUGACGGUACCUGCAGAAGAAGCGACGGCUAAAUACGUG